RNAcentral lists this small RNA (33 nucleotides) under Arabidopsis thaliana (thale cress). RNAcentral describes it as "ATSL132140". Lineage: Eukaryota; Viridiplantae; Streptophyta; Magnoliopsida; Brassicales; Brassicaceae. The record is from RNAcentral.
AAUUUGGAUCGAUUUCAAGAGGCUAAAGCAACC